CUCCGGGAACAUGUAUUUUAACUAUCAGGUCUCUUGAGGCCAAUCUGAAUGAAUCAAAUCAGUGGAGGAUGCUCUCCCCUUCCGUCGACUUACCCAAAAAAAAAUAUCGAAAAGGAUACGAGUUCCUGCACCAUUCUGCUUGCAGUGAAGCCAUGAUUUUAGUUCUUUUUCCUAUCUAUAAAAGAGACCAUGCUGCAUCUGACCUGUGAGGGAAAACAUCACAUUUGGUCUCUUCAGUGUCACACAGAGCUUUCCACACCCUGGACCAGGAACUUGAAUUCUAUAGAAAAUGAAAGAUGGUGACUGAGGAUAUCUAUUCACGCCGUGCAGAUCAUAUUCUCCAUUUUCCCUCUAUAUUUCCCGAAAAUCUCAACGUGUGGCAAGUACAUCACACCUUCCUUUCGUUUCAUAUGUUUUUACAAGUACACACAUGCAUGUAUG
RNAcentral lists this long non-coding RNA (441 nucleotides) under Sorghum bicolor (sorghum). Its description in RNAcentral is "long non-coding RNA (SBIC_LNC009715)". Lineage: Eukaryota; Viridiplantae; Streptophyta; Magnoliopsida; Poales; Poaceae. The record is from RNAcentral.